Molecule: unclassified non-coding RNA, 200 nt
Filed under: Polyporales sp.
Lineage: Eukaryota; Fungi; Basidiomycota; Agaricomycetes; Polyporales
Description: partial internal transcribed spacer 2
Source: RNAcentral
UUAAGUUCAGCGGGUAGUCCUACCUGAUUUGAGGUCAGAUGUCAAAGAAAUUGUCCGAAGACGAUUAGAAGCAGAGACUUCAAUAUACCGUACCACAGCAGCGUAGACAAUUAUCACGCCGAAGAGUAGCAGUAACAUCUUUGCUAAUGCAUUUAAGAGGAGCCGACAGACUGCCGGCAUAAACCUCCAAGUCCAACACA